Molecule: ribosomal RNA, 475 nt
Filed under: Eucypris virens
Lineage: Eukaryota; Metazoa; Arthropoda; Ostracoda; Podocopida; Cyprididae
Description: partial 16S ribosomal RNA
Rfam family: Bacterial large subunit ribosomal RNA
Source: RNAcentral
UUUCUUUAGAUAUAUUUUAAAGGUAAUACCUGCUCAAUGAAUAUUAAAUUGCCGCAGUAUUAUGACUGUGCUAAGGUAGCAUAAUAAUUUGUCUUUUAAAUGGGGACUGGAAUGAAAGGUUUUAUGGGGGUGUGCUAAUGAUUUAAUGAAUCUUUGAAGUUAAGGUUUGAGUUAAAAUUCUUAAAUUUAUUUGAGGGACGAGAAGACCCUGUGGAUCUUUAUUUUGUUUAUAAUAAAUUAUUAUAAAUGUUUUAUUAUCUUAAAAAUUUGAUUGGGACGAUUAUUAUUUUAACAUAAUUUUAAGAAUUUAUUUUGAUCCUUGUGAAGGAAUUAAGAUUAAGUUACCCCAGGGAUAACAGCGUUAUAUUAUUGGAUAGUUCAUAUUGAUAAUAAUGUUUGCGACCUCGAUGUUGAAUUAAAAUUUCUUUUUAAAGCAGAAGUUAAAUUAGUAAGUCUGUUCGACUUUUAAAAUUUU